AGAGUUUGAUCCUGGCUCAGGAUGAACGCUGGCGGCGUGCCUAAUACAAGCAAGUCGAGCGAACCACUUCGGUGGUGAGCGGCGAACGGGUGAGUAACACGUAGGUGAUCUGCCCAUCAGACGGGGACAACGAUUGGAAACGAUCGCUAAUACCGGAUAGGACGAAAGUUUAAAGGUGCUUCUGGCACCGCUGAUGGAUGAGCCUGCGGCGCAUUAGCUAGUUGGUAGGGUAAAGGCCUACCAAGGCGACGAUGCGUAGCCGACCUGAGAGGGUGAACGGCCACACUGGGACUGAGACACGGCCCAGACUCCUACGGGAGGCAGCAGUAGGGAAUCUUCGGCAAUGGGCGAAAGCCUGACCGAGCAACGCCGCGUGAAUGAUGAAGGCCUUCGGGUUGUAAAAUUCUGUUAUAAGGGAAGAACGACUUUAGUAGGAAAUGGCUAGAGUGUGACGGUACCUUAUGAGAAAGCCACGGCUAACUACGUG
RNAcentral lists this ribosomal RNA (487 nucleotides) under uncultured bacterium. RNAcentral's name for it is "bacterial SSU rRNA". It matches the Rfam family "Bacterial small subunit ribosomal RNA", at positions 8 to 507 of the family's 1533-position model. The record is from RNAcentral.